Molecule: ribosomal RNA, 581 nt
Filed under: Lysobacteraceae bacterium StRD681
Lineage: Bacteria; Pseudomonadati; Pseudomonadota; Gammaproteobacteria; Lysobacterales; Lysobacteraceae
Also listed under: 1 other name
Description: bacterial SSU rRNA
Rfam family: Bacterial small subunit ribosomal RNA
Source: RNAcentral
ACGGGUGAGGAAUACAUGGGAAUCUGCCCAAUCGUGGGGGAUAACGUAGGGAAACUUACGCUAAUACCGCAUACGACCUUAGGGUGAAAGCGGCGGACCGCAAGGCGUCGCGCGAUUGGAUGAGCCCAUGUCGGAUUAGCUAGUUGGCGGGGUAAAGGCCCACCAAGGCGACGAUCCGUAGCUGGUCUGAGAGGAUGAUCAGCCACACUGGAACUGAGACACGGUCCAGACUCCUACGGGAGGCAGCAGUGGGGAAUAUUGGACAAUGGGCGCAAGCCUGAUCCAGCCAUGCCGCGUGAGUGAAGAAGGCCUUCGGGUUGUAAAGCUCUUUUGUCCGGAAAGAAAAGCUUUCGGUUAAUACCCGGAAGUCCUGACGGUACCGGAAGAAUAAGCACCGGCUAACUUCGUGCCAGCAGCCGCGGUAAUACGAAGGGUGCAAGCGUUACUCGGAAUUACUGGGCGUAAAGCGUGCGUAGGUGGUUUGUUAAGUCUGAUGUGAAAGCCCUGGGCUCAACCUGGGAAUUGCACUGGAUACUGGCAGGCUAGAGUGCGGUAGAGGAUGGCGGAAUUCCCGGUGUAGC